Molecule: ribosomal RNA, 282 nt
Filed under: uncultured bacterium
Lineage: Bacteria
Description: partial 16S ribosomal RNA
Rfam family: Bacterial small subunit ribosomal RNA
Source: RNAcentral
GUCCUGGCCCUAAACGUUGGGUACUAGGUAGUAGACUAGACAUGGGUUUACUUCCGAAGCAAAAGUGCUAAGUACCCCGCCUGGGGAGUAUGGUCGCAAGGCUGAAACUCAAAGGAAUUGACGGGGGCUCACACAAGCGGUGGAGCAUGUGGCUUAAUUCGAGGCAACGCGAAGAACCUUACCUAGGCUUGACAUGUGCGAAAGCGUCUGGGGGUAGUCGCCGGAAACGGCCGACGAAGGUAUCCAAUCCUGAACCAGACACAGGUGCUGCAUGGCUGUCGU